Lathyrus oleraceus (garden pea) is the source of this 1150-nucleotide long non-coding RNA. RefSeq lists it as uncharacterized. The record is from RefSeq and is a predicted model, not a curated record. The transcript is spliced from 2 exons. NCBI's taxonomy places the organism in Eukaryota, Viridiplantae, Streptophyta, Magnoliopsida, Fabales, Fabaceae.
GAAAAAAACAAAAACAAAUCAUCAAAAUCUCUCCAUUCUGUACAAAAUCUCAACAAACUCUCCAACGUCUCUCACAGCACACUCCCUCACGCCAACUCACUCACUCUCUCACAGAAUUCCUCAGCUGGUUCUCAUUCACUCAUUCUCCACACCUCUCCCUCAUAAAUCACUCUCACAAACCUCACACUCACAGAAACCACAAAAACCCUCGUCUCUCUUCUCCUUCUCCGCCGCCAUAAACUCUUUCACCUUCAUCUUCAACCAUUUCGGUCUCCACCAUCAACACCCUCAAUCGCCCUCCUCGAUUCCAACUACCACCAUCAAAACCCUCACUCCAUCUUCACCUUCAUUCAACCCACGAAUCAACAAAACCAUCACCGAAAAUCACCUCACAAACCCAUCCGCCGUCCUUCUCUGAUUCACACAACCUCCGCGAUCCACCCUUCCGUCAUCGCCGUAAGACCCACCUCACUCACAAACCCAACCCACCGUCGCCUUUCUUCCAUCACCAACAAACACCUUCCAAUUUCAAUCUCCACUAUUCUGUAAACACCGCCGUCAAAUCCGCUCGCACCAACCCGUGUCCGCCGUUAUUGUUAUGUACGUGGUUCCAAAUUGGAAUAGGAUUUUGAGAAUUUUAUUCUGUUCCUGUUUGAAGCACAAAUCGCAUAACACAGUAAACGCGAUAGGGUAACAACAUCCGUCACUGACAACACUACUCAGCGAGUCUCAACGACGACCUCAACUGGACGAGUACAACGAUACCAGCUUGCAUCUUCGACGUCAUAGGAAUUGUGAAGAAAAGUUUGUAGUGAAAUUCUCAAGCGUUGUGGCAAUAGCUGUUGAGUUCUUUAAAUUAAUUACAAUCGCAUGUUAAGCUGAGUUUUAAUGAUAUGUUUUUGAGUUGUAUUGUAUUUAUCUAAUAUGCCUUUCCAACUGAUGCUGCUUGGAUUAAAUCCAGUUUUGAGUUUCAAGUUUGUGACAAAUCUUUACUAGGCUAAGAGUUUGAAUUGGCAAUGUUAUUUAGGAUGAAAGAUUCAUCUCCAUGUAAAUAUUAGUGAGCAUAGACCCUGUAGAGAUUCAUCAAGAUACUGGACUUAUUUGGUGAAGCCAAUAUGUGAUAUUAUUAUUGUUGUGGUUAUUUGCUUCA